AUACGUAGGGGGCUAGCGUUAUCCGGAUUUACUGGGCGUAAAGGGUGCGUAGGUGGUUUGUUAAGUUAGAUGUGAAAGUUUGCAGCUCAACUGUAAAAGUGCAUUUAAAACUGGCAGACUUGAGUCUCGGAGAGGUAAGCGGAAUUCCUAGUGUAGCGGUGAAAUGCGUAGAGAUUAGGAAGAACACCGGUGGCGAAGGCGGCUUACUGGACGAGUACUGACGCUCAGGUACGAAAGCGUGGGGAGC
RNAcentral lists this ribosomal RNA (247 nucleotides) under uncultured bacterium. RNAcentral's name for it is "partial 16S ribosomal RNA". It matches the Rfam family "Bacterial small subunit ribosomal RNA", at positions 523 to 769 of the family's 1533-position model. The record is from RNAcentral.